Molecule: ribosomal RNA, 281 nt
Filed under: uncultured Lactobacillus sp.
Lineage: Bacteria; Bacillati; Bacillota; Bacilli; Lactobacillales; Lactobacillaceae
Description: partial 16S ribosomal RNA
Rfam family: Bacterial small subunit ribosomal RNA
Source: RNAcentral
UAGGGACGGGCCUACCAAGGCGAUGAUGCAUAGCCGAGUUGAGAGACUGAUCGGCCACAUUGGGACUGAGACACGGCCCAAAACUCCUACGGGAGGCAGCAGUAGGGAAUCUUCCACAAUGGACGCAAGUCUGAUGGAGCAACGCCGCGUGAGUGAAGAAGGGUUUCGGCUCGUAAAGCUCUGUUGUUGGUGAAGAAGGACAGGGGGUAGUAACUGACCUUUGUUUGACGGUAAUCAAUUAGAAAGUCACGGCUAACUACGUGCCAGCAGCCGCGGUAAAU